GCAGAGCCAGGAGCCCCACACAGAAGCCCUGAUCAAUCCAAGACCAUCAUGAAGACCUCAAAAAGCCUGCCUAUGUUAAGAGAUAUGUCUUGUAGAGAGGCAUCCACAUGCAAGUUUCUCAGAGUUUCCUUGAGUAGCUUUACCUGCCAGCCCACAAAUUGCCCCAUAUGCAAAUGAUUCCACAUCUAUUUCUCAGCCCUAGAGAAGCAGUUUGCAUUCAAUGUAUCUGCAUUUGUUUAUACUUUUGUAUGUGUUGUCCUUUUUUCUAACAGAUCCAGAUUCAAUAUUUCCUGAAUGCCAGUUCUGUGACAGCACACUGUAUUAGGUGUUUUCUCAUCUCCCCUCUCCUUAUCUUCACAAUCCCAUGAAGGAAGCAUCGUUUAUUAUUGUUGUUGUUCUUGUUUUCCAGGUGUGGAAACUGAGUUUCAAAGGGUCCCUGAAGGCCGAGGGACUCAUCAGAACAGUGUUGCCUGCGGCCACUACUAAGAAAUGCUGCAGCGGGGAUGGAAACUCCUUCCUACAGAGGAACGGCUCCCUUAACGUCCUGGAGGCCUCCCUGCUUUUCCGUCUUCACCCAAGGCACCUACCACUCACUGCUCCCACCAAUAACCAGGUCUUUUGCCCCGGCCUCUUCUUUCUUUAAGCUUGAGAUGCUCAUGCAAUGUCUGGAACUGCAGCUGCCAUCUUCAGAUCACGAAGCACGAGAACAAAAGCCAUUAACUCUGAGGAUGGCAGAGAAAGAUGGAAAAAGCAUGGAAGGAUAACCAAGUGACUGAACAAACUCUGAGACUUCUUAACUAAGUAACAAAAUAAUUAUGAGUUCAUUCACUCCUAAUACUUAGUCAAGUGUUCUGUUCCUAACUGACGGAUGGAAGGAAGUGAACGCUUACUUAGCCUAGUCAGGAUUAAACUCCUCCGUCUUCGCUCUCAUGAUCCAUGGCUCGUACCUCAUUCUGCCUGAUGUUUCCAAGGCUACUUGUUUACACAACUUUCCUCUUUCCCUUUUUUAGCUGACACUACCUCCCCCAGAAUCACCCAUGCCAAGCUAUUUGAAGGAAGGAAGCUUGAAUCAUUUUUUUAUCCACUGCCCCCGCUCCCUAGCCCCACCUGCCAUAGUGACUUCCUAUACCAUUCCAUCCUGAAUCGUCACGUCCAUCGCAGACAGAAAGGCCAGCAUACACACACAGGCACACAUGUGUGCACACACGUACAUACACAGAACCACAUAUGUUUAUCGACCUGAAGCAGGAAUCACGGGGCUACAAGUGCUGAACCCCUGUUCGAGGUCUCAACAUGCUGGAAAGAAGAUAGAGUGAUGAGAAUAAGUGGGAAGAAACCAAUUGGAAAAAAAAAAAAAACACAACUAGGAAGCAUGGGAAGAGGGAGAGCCAGAAAAUAAGCCAGCGUGGCAACAGCUCAAGGGCUUGACAUGGGCGAGAUUUACUGCACUAAUAUGUUGGGCUGCCUGCCGUAAUUAGUUUCUGUGAAAACCGUAUCUCCUAGCUCAGAUUCAAUUAAAUCAUAUGGUGUUUAUUUGAGAGCUUUCUUAUUACAUGAUGGGAGGGCUGGCAGGGCCCCAAGCUCAGCUAACCCACCUGUCCCUCGCCUGGCACAAUUUAUGUGCCAGUCACACUGUUUUCCGG
Molecule: long non-coding RNA, 1643 nt
Filed under: Felis catus (domestic cat)
Lineage: Eukaryota; Metazoa; Chordata; Mammalia; Carnivora; Felidae
Description: lncRNA (ENSFCAG00000049376.1)
Source: RNAcentral